GUGCAUGCGGCGGCUAUACUGCAGUCGACGCUUCUUUUUCCACCGGAGCUUGCUCCCCGGAAAAGGAGGAGUGGCGAACGGGGGAGUAACACGUGGGUAACCUGCCCAUCAGAAGGGGAUAACACUUGGAAACAGGUGCUAAUACCGUAUAACAAUCAAAACCGCAUGGUUUUGAUUUGAAAGGCGCUUUCGGGUGUCGCUGAUGGAUGGACCCGCGGUGCAUUAGCUAGUUGGUGAGGUAACGGCUCACCAAGGCCACGAUGCAUAGCCGACCUGAGAGGGUGAUCGGCCACAUUGGGACUGAGACACGGCCCAAACUCCUACGGGAGGCAGCAGUAGGGAAUCUUCGGCAAUGGACGAAAGUCUGACCGAGCAACGCCGCGUGAGUGAAGAAGGUUUUCGGAUCGUAAAACUCUGUUGUUAGAGAAGAACAAGGAUGAGAGUAACUGUUCAUCCCUUGACGGUAUCUAACCAGAAAGCCACGGCUAACUACGUGCCAGCAGCCGCGGUAAUACGUAGGUGGCAAGCGUUGUCCGGAUUUAUUGGGCGUAAAGCGAGCGCAGGCGGUUUCUUAAGUCUGAUGUGAAAGCCCCCGGCUCAACCGGGGAGGGUCAUUGGAAACUGGGAGACUUGAGUGCCGAAAAGGAGAGUGGAAUUCCAUGUGUAGGGGGCGAAAUA
This 678-nucleotide ribosomal RNA is filed under the name Enterococcus faecium. RNAcentral describes it as "bacterial SSU rRNA". It matches the Rfam family "Bacterial small subunit ribosomal RNA", at positions 33 to 688 of the family's 1533-position model. Lineage: Bacteria; Bacillati; Bacillota; Bacilli; Lactobacillales; Enterococcaceae. The record is from RNAcentral.